UCAGUUGAUCCUGGCUCAGAACGAACGCUGGCGGCGUGGAUUAGGCAUGCAAGUCGAACGGGAUCUCUGGAACGGACUGGAUGAAGUUCUUGAGUGAGAGUGGCGAACUGGUGAGGAACACGUGGGUAAUUUGCCCUUAAGUUCGGGAUAGCCCUUCGAAAGGAGGUGUAAUACCGAAUGUGGUCGCCCCGGACAUCCGGGGCUGUCUAAAGGUGGGGAUCUUCGGACCUGCCGCUUAGGGAUCCGAAAGCCCGCGCCCUACCAGCUUGUUGGUGAGGUAACGGCUCACCAAGGCAAAGACGGGUAGCUGGUCUGAGAGGAUGGUCAGCCACACUGGGACUGAGACACUGCCCAGACUCCUAGGGGAGGCUGCAGUCGAGAAUCAUUCGCAAUGCACGAAAGUGUGACGAUGCGACGCCGCGUGGAGGAUGAAUGCCUUCGGGUUGUAAACUCCUGUCAUGAGGAAAGAAUGUCCGGCCGGCUGAUACCCGGUGAGUGACGGUACCUCAAGAGGAAGCCACGGCUAACUCUGUGCCAUUGCGGUAAUACAGAGGUGGCGAGCGUUGUUCGGAUUUACUGGGCGUAAAGGGUGCGUAGGCGGUAUGGUGUGUCGGAUGUGAAAUCUCACUGUCCAACGGUGAAAGUGCAUAAUCGAAACUGCCGUGCUAGGAGUACAGGAGGGUAGAGCGGAAUUCUUGGUGCACCGGUGAAAUGCGUAGAUAUCAAGAAGAACGCCGGUGGCGAAGGCGGCUCUCUGGACUGAUACUGACGCUGAGGCACGAAAGCUGGGGUAGCGAAGAGGAUUAGAUACCCUCGUAGUCCCAGCCGUAAACGGUGUGCACUUGGUGUGGGCG
Molecule: ribosomal RNA, 854 nt
Filed under: uncultured Verrucomicrobiota bacterium
Lineage: Bacteria; Pseudomonadati; Verrucomicrobiota
Description: bacterial SSU rRNA
Rfam family: Bacterial small subunit ribosomal RNA
Source: RNAcentral